AACUGUCUAUUUUGUAUAUACUGCUUGAAUCGUUGUAAUUCCUCUGGAGUUAAACGGCGUUGGAAGGGGGUUCGAUUCCCCCCGCCUCCACCAAAAGAGCUGUCGGUUUGCCGGAUGUCCACUAAUACUGGAAUGGCCUACUAACCUAACAACUCUUCUGACGGGGGCGCCAGGCUUCGACAGCGUUGGGAGAUGAAGGCGGCAACGGCAGUAGGCGAACACUGCGGCACUUGUGCCAUGAAGUAGCAAAAAAGUAUUCGCAAACGACGAAUCUUAUCGCCUGGUCGCUUGACCAAGCCGGGGUUUGAAGGAGCCUUGUUAAGCAAUUCCUUCACAGAGGCCCCUUAACUGGGGCUUUUGUUUUUUUCAAAGGACAAAACAUGG
Molecule: non-coding RNA, 384 nt
Filed under: Novimethylophilus kurashikiensis
Lineage: Bacteria; Pseudomonadati; Pseudomonadota; Betaproteobacteria; Nitrosomonadales; Methylophilaceae
Source: RNAcentral